RNAcentral lists this ribosomal RNA (1285 nucleotides) under Penthe kochi. RNAcentral's name for it is "16S ribosomal RNA". Lineage: Eukaryota; Metazoa; Arthropoda; Insecta; Coleoptera; Tetratomidae. The record is from RNAcentral.
AUAAAAAUUUUUAUUUAAAUUUUUAUUUUAGAAAUUUUUAAUUAAAAAGUUAAUGUUUUUAUUAAAUUUAUUGAAAAAAUUUAUUUUAUGAUAGUUUAUAGUAUUGUGAAAGAAAAUUUUUAUAUUUGUUAAAGAAAAUUUUUUUUAUUGUACCUUGUGUAUCAGGGUUUAUUAAUUAUAGUUAAUUAGUUAAUUUUCUCGAAUUUAAAAGAGUUAAAUAUAAAUAAAUUUUAUUGUAAAAUAAAUAUUUAAAAUUUAUAUUUAGUAAUGAAACGUUAUUCGUUUUUAAAUAUAUCUAGUUAUUUAAGAAAUAAAUUUAAUUUAAUUAUUAGUUAAUAUAAUUAUUAUUUUUAUAUAAUUAUAUUAUUAAUAUUUUAUAUAUUAAGGGAUAAGCUUUAAUAUAGAUUUUUAUAAUAAUUUAAAUUUAUAUUAUUUAUAGGAUUAGAAUUUUCAAUUUUUAAAAGAAUGUUAUAAUUAAUUAUAUUUUUUAUAUAAUUUAUAUUUUAUUUAAGUUUUUUAUUAAAUAGUUAAUUAAAAUUUUUAAAGUUAAUUUAUUAUGAUAAAAUUAGUAUAAAUUUAUAAAAAUUUAAAUUUUAAUUUUUAGAUAUAAAUAAGGAAUUCGGCAAAUAUAUUUUUCACCUGUUUAUUAAAAACAUGUCUUUUUGAGUUUAAUUUAAAGUCUGGCCUGCCCAAUGAUUUAAUUAUUAAAUGGCCGCAGUAUUUUGACUGUGCAAAGGUAGCAUAAUCAUUAGUUUUUUAAUUGAAAGCUAGUAUGAAUGGUUUAAUGAAAAAAUAGCUGUCUCAUUUAUAAAUUUAGAAUUUUAUUUUUAAGUUAAAAAGCUUAAAUUUAUUAAAAAGACGAGAAGACCCUAUAGAGUUUUAUAUAAAAAAAUUAAAUAUUAAAAUUUUGAUUAAUAAAUAAUAUUAAUUUUUUUAUGUUUCAUUGGGGUGAUGGAAAAAUUUAAUAAACUUUUUAUAAAUUUAAACAUUAAUAUAUGAAAUAUUGAUCCUAAAUUUUAGAUUAUAAGAAAAAAUUACCUUAGGGAUAACAGCGUAAUUUUUUUUUAGAGUUCUAAUCGAAAAAAAAGAUUGCGACCUCGAUGUUGGAUUAAAAUUAAGUUAUGGUGUAGAAGCUAUAAAUUUAGGUCUGUUCGACCUUUAAAAUUUUACAUGAUCUGAGUUUAAACCGGUGUAAGCCAGGUUGGUUUCUAUCUUUUAAAAAUUAAAAUAGUUUAGUACGAAAGGACCAAUUAUUUAAAUAAAAUUUUAAAUUUUGAAUUAAAAU